This is a ribosomal RNA of Gadus morhua (Atlantic cod), 119 nucleotides long. The record is from Ensembl. NCBI's taxonomy places the organism in Eukaryota, Metazoa, Chordata, Actinopteri, Gadiformes, Gadidae.
GCUUACGGCCAUACCACCUUAGGCACGCCCGAUCUCGUCUGAUCUCGGAAGCUAAGCAGGAUCGGGCCUGGUUAGUACUUGGAUGGGUGACCGCCUGGGAAUACCAGGUGCUGUAAGCA